GAAUGGGGAGGUUUACUUGACUGCUCUUCUGCAGAAGCCUGUAUCAAGAUGAGAGUCAGAUACUGGGCUAUAGGUAACUUGAUUCUUAUAAUUUAUAAAAGUAGCCCCUUGCUGGUAGAUUUUCUUUCAUAGUCUAUAUAUGCAUAUGAAUUUAGCUUUCAUUGUUCAACUUGAUGAUAUUUUGCUUGCCUAAUGCAUUUAUGAUCUGAGCUGGAAAUAGGUAUCCUAAUGUAAAUGACAUUUAUAUAUUAGUUAAAGUGUUAUAUAUGAGUCAAAUUUCCAAAACUGUGUUUGAUUAAUUAAACCAUGAAAUCUAUUCUCAUCUAGAUGAUUUAUUUAACAUUGAUAUUCUCCAAACUCUUUCCUUUUGGGCUGUGUUUGCAUCACCUACUAGAAUCAAGGACAUUAGCUCUUUUUCUUACAAUGAUUUCAGUACUGUAUUCCAAAAUUGUGAAUUGUUAACCUCGUUGCAAUUGCUUUGAGAAAAUGUUAUUUUCAUCUUUCAUUUCACUAUAUAUUUUUCCCUGAAAAAUAUUUAAAUCCCCUGAUUUCUUGAAAUGAUGAAGUUACAUAAUAACAAUUGAGCAUAAUAUGCUGUGCUAAGUUGCAGUAUCCGCAUUUUUUGCAGCAUCUGAACAUGCGGUGACCUUUUCAAUAUAAUGUUAUCUCCUGAAAAAUAAAUUUUCCUUGUGAUAAAAGCUUACAUUGUUGAUUUGCACCAUUGAUUUUGUUUUUAGGGGGUGAAGGGUAUGAAGGAAAUUAAUUGUUGCUCUGCGAAUACAUCACUGAGAAUGAAAAACAUGUGUUGAGUAUUUUUGGUAGAUUAAUAGAGAAAUAGGUCCCUUUUCAUUUGUGUUAUUCUUCUGCGUGCACAGAUUUCAGGUUCUCCUGAACUAGCUCAAACACUAAUUAAGAAUAAUUACAAAACACAUUUGGGCAACUAAUACACCACUUGUAUGGUUGCUUGAUUAAAUGUGACUUGUUUAUCUGAUCUAGUACUUGGCAAUUGUGUUAUUGAAGUUAUCGUUUGGGGUUUUAAAACCAGUUUGUUAAAUUUACUGAGUUGCUGAUUUGCUUUGAUAACUUGUAACUCAGAUUUCAGACAAUAAACUUGGUUCAAUUUCUGCUGUUCCGGUCUGGUAUCAUUAUCAGAUCUCUCCAGAUUGGCUAGCAAAAGCGCAAGCUACCCUGUUCAAAAUUUAGAUGCUUGUUCAGAUAAAAGAUGUAAGCAGCCACCUCAGCAAUGAAGCAACUUACUUAUUGCCACAAAAUUGUCUAUAAAGAUUAUAGGAUGGGGUAAAAUCAGGAUUCAGGAAGGUUGUAGGCAGAACACAAUGAUUGAUCUUUAUUGGUUUUUGUAUUCAUAAGCAUGUUAAUUCAGUUAACUGUGUAGAAAUAAAUAAGCAGAACAAGCAUACAUUUCUGUUGCCCAUUGCCCAACAAGGCAACAAAUCUAUGAAAAUAAAAUUGGGAAUAUUAUUAUUUUGUCCCGGUAUUUAAAUGAAAUUAAAUAUUUAGUCCUUGUAUUUGAAGAACUAUACGAGUGAA
This 1548-nucleotide unclassified non-coding RNA is filed under the name Hevea brasiliensis (rubber tree). Lineage: Eukaryota; Viridiplantae; Streptophyta; Magnoliopsida; Malpighiales; Euphorbiaceae. The record is from RNAcentral.